This 499-nucleotide ribosomal RNA is filed under the name uncultured Sphingobacteriales bacterium. RNAcentral describes it as "bacterial SSU rRNA". It matches the Rfam family "Bacterial small subunit ribosomal RNA", at positions 903 to 1382 of the family's 1533-position model. The record is from RNAcentral. Lineage: Bacteria; Pseudomonadati; Bacteroidota; Sphingobacteriia; Sphingobacteriales.
CCUUGCCAGCCCGCUCAAGAACUUAAAGGAAUUGACGGGGGCCCGCACAAGCGGUGGAGCAUGUGGUUUAAUCGAUGAUACGCGAGGAACCUUACCUGGGCUCAAAUGUAUGUUGACGUAUUCUGAAAGGGAUACUUCUUCGGACAAUAUACAAGGUGCUGCAUGGUUGUCGUCAGCUCGUGCCGUGAGGUGUCGGGUUAAGUCCCAUAACGAGCGCAACCCCUAUCAUUAGUUGCCAUCAGGUCAAGCUGGGGACUCUAAUGAAACUGCCUACGCAAGUAGUGAGGAAGGUGGGGAUGACGUCAAAUCAGCACGGCCCUUACGUCCAGGGCUACACACGUGCUACAAUGGCCGGUACAAAGGGCAGCUACCUGGUGACAGGAUGCUAAUCUCAAAAGCCGGUCUCAGUUCGGAUCGGAGUCUGCAACCCGACUCCGUGAAGCUGGAAUCGCUAGUAAUCGUGGAUCAGCAUGCCACGGUGAAUACGUUCCCGGGCCUU